This is a long non-coding RNA of Gallus gallus (chicken), 492 nucleotides long. The record is from Ensembl. Lineage: Eukaryota; Metazoa; Chordata; Aves; Galliformes; Phasianidae.
GCACAUAUGCAACAUAAAGGAUUAGUCCCACAAUUGCAAUAAUGUUAUUCUUUUUCCUGUUGUCUGGAAUCCCAGAAUGGCUGGAGUGAGAAGGGACCUCCGAGUCUAUCUGGCCCAACCCCUGACCAAGCAGGGACACCCAGAGCAGGGUGGCCAGGGUCAUGGCCAGGCAGCUUCUGAAGAUCUCAAAGGAGGAGACCCCGCAGCCUCUCUGGGCAAUCUGUACCGGUGCUCUGUCACAUGCAGAGCACAGAAGUGCUGCCUUGUGUUCAGGGGGAACCUACUGUCCUCCAGUUUGAUGCUGUGUUCUAAGGAGACUCUUUAGUGGCUCAGUGCCAUGUGCACGUUUGUCUCCAUGGUAGGUGCUCACUUUAAGUUCAGGUUGGUGAUAAAGAAAACUCAAAAACCUCUCCGCAAGAGGAUGAUGAAAUGGGAAACCUCAUGCUCCAGUUGCAGGGGUAUGACUGCUCUUGCUGAGUGAAUGGAACAGGG